Molecule: long non-coding RNA, 1770 nt
Filed under: Octopus vulgaris (common octopus)
Lineage: Eukaryota; Metazoa; Mollusca; Cephalopoda; Octopoda; Octopodidae
Source: RNAcentral
UAUUCUUUCCCUUUCCUUUUCUCUUAUUCCCUUCCUUGACACUGCCUCUGUUAGUUUCUCUACUAGCAACCGUUGACAAAACAAAAACAAACCUGUUCCUUCCAUCAUACUUUAACAUCUCAGCACCUUUUCUCCUGGUCUGUCAUGGGAGAUUGCGAGUUACCAGGUGACCUCAUUAAUGCCAGAGCCACACACACACACAUGCAUGCACACACAGACAUGCACGCACACAUACACACACACAAAAGGGCCCAAUUGAAUCUGUAAAGUAGUUGGCAUUUGGAAGGGCUUUCAGCCGUAGAGACCAUGCCAGAACUGAGACAACGGAGCAAGAGAGUGGGUGCCGACCCGUUGGAUUCUGUCAAACUGUCCAACCCAUGCCAGCAUGGAAAGUGGACGCGUAAAAUGAUGGAUGAUGAUAAUGAUGAUGAUGUUAUGUAUAGCCAUAGAAUGAAAAAAGUUUGAGUUCAACUGAUCCCAUGAUUCCUUACCAAUGGAAGAAUGAGCUAACGAGGGGAACUUAUAUAGUCACACAAAUCAAAUCACACCCUACCAUCUAAAAAAAAAAUGGCAGUAUACUUGGGAUAAUGUAUCUUUCUCUUGGACAACAACAACAAAAAAAAAGGGAUGGUCACAGUAGGAAUAACUCAACUCUGAUUAUAAAUCUGCUGAUUCAGAGCUGACUUGGAAAAUUGUAACAAAUAAAAUACCUAGAAAGAUGUAAGAUUUCUAUCAUUUGCUCCUAUUAUAAAUGCAACAUUUACUAGUUUAUAAUGUAAGAUUUACUAUAGAAUAGAAAUGGAGUGCGUUACUAUUGUAAUACACCCCAUCGUAAUUCUGAGUUUCUCUUGUGUGGGCAUAUUCAGAGAGGAAUAUAGACUUAAACAUGGGAGUGAGAGUGUGUGUGUAUGCGUGCAUAUAUAUAUAUAUCCAGUCGCCAUGAUAGAUCGUUAGCCCCUACACACAUUUUUCUCUCUCCUUGUUUUUUUUCUGUGUCCCUUUCUGUAGAAGAGCAUAGGCUCGAAACGUAAAAGACUUUUUCUAUUCCUGAGCGUUAUACUAAUACAUCUGUUUAUUUUGUACACCACCUGUCUUCGUGUUUUGUUUUUUUUCGUGGUGUAUGUAUCAGAAAAGAUUUUGGUGUAUUAUUUAACAUAAAUUACUAAAGACAGGAGUUGUUAACAACAGUAAGAAGAACACAUAAGGACAUGUGUUGCCAUCUUAUGUUAGUGUUAGAUGGGAAAUAAAGAAACAUACAUGUGUGUGUGUCUGUGUAUGAACAAACUGUUAUGAAACUUAUGCUAAGUGUGUGUGUGUGUGUGUGUGAAUGCACGUGUGUAGGUAGGUAAUUAUUUGUGUUUAGUGUACACUAGUAUAUCACAGUAUGAUCAUGAAAGAUCCACUGAAAGGGGUUCACUUGAUUAAGUACAAAGAACAGAACUGAAAUGUUACCUAGUGGUGAAAGUAAAAAACCAUUGCUACCAUCCUGAUGGUAACAUGGUAUACAAGAGUGGUUCAAUUUACAGUUACAUCUCAAUGGUUACAGAGUGAAGCGUCAAACGUUCACAGCUAUCCCUCAGUGUAAGAACUCUGUGGGUGAAGAACAGAAGUAACACAGAUUUAGAUGAUGGAUUCUGAGGUUCUGAUGACCACUUGGCCAUGGCAAUGCCAUGGCAAUGAUGAUGAUGAUGAUGAUGAUGAUGAUGAUGAUGAUGAUGAUGAUGAUGAUGAUGAUGAUGAUGAUAACAGCAACAAUAACAAUAAUGGUUG